This 279-nucleotide ribosomal RNA is filed under the name uncultured bacterium. RNAcentral's name for it is "partial 16S ribosomal RNA". It matches the Rfam family "Bacterial small subunit ribosomal RNA", at positions 506 to 784 of the family's 1533-position model. The record is from RNAcentral.
UGCCAGCAGCCGCGGUAAUACGUGGGAUGAAAGCGUUAUCCGGAAUCAUUGGGCGUAAAGCGCCUGUAGGUUGUUUAAUAAGUCUGUUGUUAAAGACUAGGGCUUAACCCUAGAAAAGCAAUGGAAACUACUAGACUAGAGUAUGGCAGGGGUAAAGGGAAUUUCUAGUGUAGCGGUGAAAGGCGUAGAUAUUAGAAAGGACACCGGUGUCGAAAGCGCUCUACUGGACCAUUACUGACACUCAGAGUCGAAAGCUAGGUUCGCAAAAGGUAUUCGAUA